GACGAACGCUGGCGGCGUGCCUAAUACAUGCAAGUCGAGCGAAGUUUUUCUGGUGCUUGCACUAGAAAAACUUAGCGGCGAACGGGUGAGUAACACGUAAAGAACCUGCCUCAUAGACUGGGACAACUAUUGGAAGCGAUAGCUAAUACCGGAUAACAGCAUUAACUGCAUGGUUGAUGUUUAAAAGUUGGUUUUGCUAACACUAUGAGAUGGCUUUGCGGUGCAUUAGCUAGUUGGUGGGGUAAAGGCCUACCAAGGCGACGAUGCAUAGCCGACCUGAGAGGGUGAUCGGCCACACUGGGACUGAGACACGGCCCAGACUCCUACGGGAGGCAGCAGUAGGGAAUCUUCCGCAAUGGGCGAAAGCCUGACGGAGCAACGCCGCGUGAGUGAAGAAGGAUUUCGGUUCGUAAAGCUCUGUUGUUAGGGAAGAAUGAUUGUGUAGUAACUAUACACAGUAGAGACGGUACCUAACCAGAAAGCCACGGCUAACUACGUGCCAGCAGCCGCGGUAAUACGUAGGUGGCAAGCGUUGUCCGGAAUUAUUGGGCGUAAAGCGCGCGCAGGUGGUUUAAUAAGUCUGAUGUGAAAGCCCACGGCUCAACCGUGGAGGGUCAUUGGAAACUGUUAAACUUGAGUGCAGGAGAGAAAAGUGGAAUUCCUAGUGUAGCGGUGAAACGCGUAGAGAUUAGGAGGAACACCAGUGGCGAAGGCGGCUUUUUGGCCUGUAACUGACACUGAGGCGCGAAAGCGUGGGGAGCAAACAGG
RNAcentral lists this ribosomal RNA (768 nucleotides) under uncultured bacterium. RNAcentral describes it as "bacterial SSU rRNA". It matches the Rfam family "Bacterial small subunit ribosomal RNA", at positions 28 to 776 of the family's 1533-position model. The record is from RNAcentral.